Molecule: ribosomal RNA, 207 nt
Filed under: uncultured bacterium
Lineage: Bacteria
Description: partial 16S ribosomal RNA
Rfam family: Bacterial small subunit ribosomal RNA
Source: RNAcentral
CUCGUAGGCGGCCAACUAAGUCAGACGUGAAAUCCCUCGGCUUAACCGGGGAACUGCGUCUGAUACUGGAUGGCUUGAAUCCGGGAGAGGGAUGUGGAAUUCCAGGUGUAGCGGUGAAAUGCGUAGAUAUCUGGAGGAACACCGGUGGCGAAGGCGGCAUCCUGGACCGGUAUUGACGCUGAGUGAGCGAAAGCCAGGGAGCAAACG